GCUCAGAUUGAACGCUGGCGGCAGGCCUAACACAUGCAAGUCGAGCGGAUGAGGGUAGCUUGCUACCUGAUUCAGCGGCGGACGGGUGAGUAAUGCCUAGGAAUCUGCCCGAUAGUGGGGGAUAACGUUCCGAAAGGAACGCUAAUACCGCAUACGUCCUACGGGAGAAAGCGGGGGAUCUUCGGACCUCGCGCUAUCGGAUGAGCCUAGGUCGGAUUAGCUAGUUGGUGAGGUAAAGGCUCACCAAGGCGACGAUCCGUAGCUGGUCUGAGAGGAUGAUCAGCCACACUGGAACUGAGACACGGUCCAGACUCCUACGGGAGGCAGCAGUGGGGAAUAUUGGACAAUGGGCGAAAGCCUGAUCCAGCCAUGCCGCGUGUGUGAAGAAGGUCUUCGGAUUGUAAAGCACUUUAAGUUGGGAGGAAGGGUUGUAACCUAAUACGUUGCAACUUUGACGUUACCGACAGAAUAAGCACCGGCUAACUUCGUGCCAGCAGCCGCGGUAAUACGAAGGGUGCAAGCGUUAAUCGGAAUUACUGGGCGUAAAGCGCGCGUAGGUGGUUUGAUAAGUUGGAUGUGAAAGCCCCGGGCUCAACCUGGGAAUUGCAUCCAAAACUGUCUGACUAGAGUACGGUAGAGGGUAGUGGAAUUUCCUGUGUAGCGGUGAAAUGCGUAGAUAUAGGAAGGAACACCAGUGGCGAAGGCGACUACCUGGACUGAUACU
This 724-nucleotide ribosomal RNA is filed under the name Pseudomonas sp. RNAcentral describes it as "bacterial SSU rRNA". It matches the Rfam family "Bacterial small subunit ribosomal RNA", at positions 22 to 741 of the family's 1533-position model. The record is from RNAcentral. Lineage: Bacteria; Pseudomonadati; Pseudomonadota; Gammaproteobacteria; Pseudomonadales; Pseudomonadaceae.